Non-coding RNA from Hydrogenophaga sp. T4, 98 nucleotides. NCBI's taxonomy places the organism in Bacteria, Pseudomonadati, Pseudomonadota, Betaproteobacteria, Burkholderiales, Comamonadaceae. The record is from Rfam.
GGGCAGGAUAGGUGAAGUUGGCUAACCGGCGGGCCGGUUUUCCAUCUUCACUUUCCCUUAUUCGCGCGAGCGCUCAACGGGACCUGCUCUGCGAGGCC